UACGUAGGUGGCAAGCGUUAUCCGGAAUUACUGGGUGUAAAGGGCGCGCAGGCGGCCCUGCAAGUCGGAUGUGAAAGAUCAAGGCUCAACCUUGACAGGCCAUUCGAAACUGUGGGACUUCAGUGUCAGAGGGGAAAGUGGAAUUCCUAGUGGAGCGGUAAAAUGCGCAGAUAUUAGGAGGAACACCGGUGGCGAAGGCGACUUUCUGGCUGACAACUGACGCUGAGGCGCGAAAGCGUGGGGAGCAAACAGGAUUAGAUACCCGUGUA
Molecule: ribosomal RNA, 269 nt
Filed under: uncultured prokaryote
Description: partial 16S ribosomal RNA
Rfam family: Bacterial small subunit ribosomal RNA
Source: RNAcentral